UACGUAGGGGGCAAGCGUUGUCCGGAAUCAUUGGGCGUAAAGAGCGUGUAGGCGGCCAGAUAAGUCCGCUGUGAAAUCUCGAGGCUCAACUUCGAGCUGUCGGUGGAAACUGUCUGGCUAGAGUCCGGAAGAGGAGAAUGGAAUUCCUGGUGUAGCGGUGAAAUGCGCAGAUAUCAGGAAGAACACCUAUGGCGAAGGCAGCACUCUGGGACGGUACUGACGCUGAGACGCGAAAGCGUGGGGAGCGAACAGG
Molecule: ribosomal RNA, 253 nt
Filed under: uncultured bacterium
Lineage: Bacteria
Description: partial 16S ribosomal RNA
Rfam family: Bacterial small subunit ribosomal RNA
Source: RNAcentral